This 492-nucleotide ribosomal RNA is filed under the name uncultured bacterium. Its description in RNAcentral is "partial 16S ribosomal RNA". It matches the Rfam family "Bacterial small subunit ribosomal RNA", at positions 29 to 507 of the family's 1533-position model. The record is from RNAcentral.
AGUGAACGCUGGCGGUAGGCCUAGCACAUGCAAGUCGAACGGCAGCACAGUAAGAGCUUGCUCUUACGGGUGGCGAGUGGCGGACGGGUGAGGAAUACAUCGGAAUCUACUUUUUCGUGGGGGAUAACGUAGGGAAACUUACGCUAAUACCGCAUACGACCUACGGGUGAAAGCAGGGGAUCUUCGGACCUUGCGCGAUUGAAUGGGCCGAUGUCGGAUUAGCUAGUUGGCGGGGUAAAGGCCCACCAAGGCGACGAUCCGUAGCUGGUCUGAGAGGAUGAUCAGCCACACUGGAACUGAGACACGGUCCAGACUCCUACGGGAGGCAGCAGUGGGGAAUAUUGGACAAUGGGCGCAAGCCUGAUCCAGCCAUACCGCGUGGGUGAAGAAGGCCUUCGGGUUGUAAAGCCCUUUUGUUGGGAAAGAAAAGCAGCAGGUUAAUACCCCGCUGUUCUGACGGUACCCAAAGAAUAAGCACCGGCUAACUUCGUG